Molecule: ribosomal RNA, 253 nt
Filed under: uncultured bacterium
Lineage: Bacteria
Description: partial 16S ribosomal RNA
Rfam family: Bacterial small subunit ribosomal RNA
Source: RNAcentral
UACGGAGGGUGCGAGCGUUGUCCGGAAUCACUGGGCGUAAAGGGCGCGUAGGCGGUCUGCUAAGCGUGCGGUGAAAGCCUGGGGCUCAACCCCAGGUCUGCCGUGCGAACUGGUGGACUGGAGCACUGUAGAGGCAGGUGGAAUUCCGGGUGUAGCGGUGGAAUGCGUAGAGAUCCGGAAGAACACCAGUGGCGAAGGCGGCCUGCUGGGCAGUUGCUGACGCUGAGGCGCGACAGCGUGGGGAGCAAACAGG